Non-coding RNA from Papiliotrema laurentii, 106 nucleotides. The record is from the annotation of a GenBank genome assembly. NCBI's taxonomy places the organism in Eukaryota, Fungi, Basidiomycota, Tremellomycetes, Tremellales, Rhynchogastremaceae.
GCCGGUGUGGCGUAAUGGUUAUCGCUGUGGACUUUUAGCACAAAAUUCGACAUGAAGUCGGAUCCGUGGGAUCCAAGGGUUCCGGGUUCGAGCCCCGGCAUCGGCU